RNAcentral lists this ribosomal RNA (478 nucleotides) under uncultured bacterium. Its description in RNAcentral is "partial 16S ribosomal RNA". It matches the Rfam family "Bacterial small subunit ribosomal RNA", at positions 28 to 507 of the family's 1533-position model. The record is from RNAcentral.
GACGAACGCUGGCGGCGUGCUUAACACAUGCAAGUCGAACGGGAUUUCGUAAACAGAAGCCUCGGUGGAAGAUUACUAAUGAGAGUGGCGAACGGGUGAGUAACGCGUGAGCAACCUGCCUAUGACAGGGGGAUAGCCUCGGGAAACCGGGAUUAAUACCGCAUAAAAUCGUAGAAACACAUGUUUUAACGGUCAAAGAUUUAUCGGUCAUAGAUGGGCUCGCGUCUGAUUAGCUAGUUGGUGAGAUAACAGCCCACCAAGGCGACGAUCAGUAGCCGGUCUGAGAGGAUGAACGGCCACAGUGGAACUGAGACACGGUCCAAACUCCUACGGGAGGCAGCAGUGGGGAAUAUUGCACAAUGGGGGAAACCCUGAUGCAGCGACGCCGCGUGAACGAAGAAGGUAUUCGUAUCGUAAAGUUCUGUCCUAUGGGAAGAUAAUGACAGUACCAUAGAAGAAAGCUCCGGCUAAAUACGUG